This 58-nucleotide microRNA precursor is filed under the name Equus caballus (horse). Its description in RNAcentral is "Eca-Mir-544_pre stem-loop". Lineage: Eukaryota; Metazoa; Chordata; Mammalia; Perissodactyla; Equidae. The record is from RNAcentral.
UCUUGUUAAAAGGCAGAUUCUGAUUCAGGGACCAAGAUUCUGCAUUUUUAGCAAGUUC